UGUCACCACAAUAGCAUCCUGGAUGUGCCUGAUCUUGUCUGAUCUCAGAAGUUAAGCAGGGCCCAGUUAGUACUUGAAUCAAAGGAGAUUCAUUUUUAAAGCAAUCAUGUGUUUAAAA
RNAcentral lists this ribosomal RNA (118 nucleotides) under Jaculus jaculus (lesser Egyptian jerboa). The record is from RNAcentral. Lineage: Eukaryota; Metazoa; Chordata; Mammalia; Rodentia; Dipodidae.